This 254-nucleotide ribosomal RNA is filed under the name uncultured bacterium. RNAcentral describes it as "partial 16S ribosomal RNA". It matches the Rfam family "Bacterial small subunit ribosomal RNA", at positions 524 to 776 of the family's 1533-position model. The record is from RNAcentral.
UACGUAGGGUGCAAGCGUUUGUCCGGAAUUAUUGGGCGUAAAGAGCUCGUAGGCGGUUUGUCGCGUCUGCUGUGAAAACGCGAGGCUCAACCUCGCGCCUGCAGUGGGUACGGGCAGACUAGAGUGCGGUAGGGGAGAUUGGAAUUCCUGGUGUAGCGGUGGAAUGCGCAGAUAUCAGGAGGAACACCGAUGGCGAAGGCAGAUCUCUGGGCCGUUACUGACGCUGAGGAGCGAAAGCGUGGGGAGCGAACAGG